This is a long non-coding RNA of Mauremys reevesii (Reeves's turtle), 648 nucleotides long. RefSeq lists it as uncharacterized. The record is from RefSeq and is a predicted model, not a curated record. NCBI's taxonomy places the organism in Eukaryota, Metazoa, Chordata, Testudines, Geoemydidae. The transcript is spliced from 3 exons.
GGACAAGGGUUAGCCCAGGGAGUGAGCUGACUCAGUAGAGUAAAGCUCGGUUCAACAGGAGGAGGGUGCUAUAAAAUAGGCCCAAUCUAUUCCAGUGGGUUUAAGCCACGUUUGCACUCUUUCAAGCCUAGGUCAUUCUGCACCAGUCUGGUUCCCUGGUGUAAAUUGGCUACCCUAACUUGAGCUGCCUGCCAAUGGCCUGAAGGUCCCAGAAGGUCGUUGGAAGAUCCCCAUAUGCAGCAUUUCUUUAAGCUCCAAGGAACAAAACAUGCCAAUUGCACACGAGGAAUGGAGAAGAUGCUCCUUAUGCAAGUGUGCUGACUAGAUGAUCACAACGAUCCCUUCUGGCUUAGAAUCUGACUCUGAUACUCUAUCAGCCUCCAUCCUCUGUGACCCAACCCAAUGAAAGGGGAUGCACAGCAUGGCCCUCACAGAGAAAACGGGUUGGUUCUUGGAUCUGUGUUGACAACAGCUAUAAGGCUGGACUCAUGCAGCAGCCUGUGGCAGAAGGCCUAGCAUGGAACAAAGCAAGGACCUCUUCUUCAGAAAGUCUUAAUAAAUUUCCUGUCAAACUGCUAAUCAAAACUCAGGCUGUUCUUUGAGUAUCAGUGGCAUAUACAGUAAGGCCUUAAACCUAUAAAAAAUACU